This 76-nucleotide transfer RNA is filed under the name Cordylochernes scorpioides. RNAcentral describes it as "tRNA-Thr". The record is from RNAcentral. Lineage: Eukaryota; Metazoa; Arthropoda; Arachnida; Pseudoscorpiones; Chernetidae.
GUUCAGGGAUGGAAAUCGAACCCACAGUGUUCCACUUACCGGGCAGAUGCUAUGUCCACUAGGAGGCUACCCUGGA